GGCAGAUACCUCAGUUGGUUAGAGCAUGGUGUUGAUAACACCAAGGUUGUGGGUUCAAUCCCCGUAUGAACCA
Molecule: non-coding RNA, 73 nt
Organism: Podarcis lilfordi (Lilford's wall lizard)
Lineage: Eukaryota; Metazoa; Chordata; Lepidosauria; Squamata; Lacertidae
Source: the annotation of a GenBank genome assembly